AACGAACGCUGGCGGCAUGCUUAACACAUGCAAGUCGAACGUGAUCCCUGCCUUCGGGUGGGGUGAAAGUGGCGGACGGGUGAGUAACGCGUGGGAACCUGCCCAGUGGUAGGGGAUAACCGCGGGAAACUGCGGCUAAUACCCUAUAAGCCCUUAGGGGGAAAGAUUUAUUGCCAUUGGAGGGGCCCGCGUCGGAUUAGGUAGUUGGUGGGGUAAAGGCCUACCAAGCCUUCGAUCCGUAGCUGGUCUGAGAGGANGAUCAGCCACACUGGGACUGAGAUACGGCCCAGACUCCUACGGGGGCGAGCAGU
RNAcentral lists this ribosomal RNA (311 nucleotides) under uncultured bacterium. RNAcentral describes it as "bacterial SSU rRNA". It matches the Rfam family "Bacterial small subunit ribosomal RNA", at positions 29 to 355 of the family's 1533-position model. The record is from RNAcentral.